Molecule: ribosomal RNA, 900 nt
Filed under: Halobacillus sp. JSM 102017
Lineage: Bacteria; Bacillati; Bacillota; Bacilli; Caryophanales; Bacillaceae
Description: bacterial SSU rRNA
Rfam family: Bacterial small subunit ribosomal RNA
Source: RNAcentral
CCGGGGGGGGGUGCUAAUACAUGCAAGUCGAGCGCGGGAAGCGAGUGGAUCCCUUCGGGGUGAAGCUCGUGGAACGAGCGGCGGACGGGUGAGUAACACGUGGGCAACCUGCCUGUAAGAUCGGAAUAACUCCGGGAAACCGGGGCUAAUGCCGGGUAAUACUUUCUUUCGCAUGAAGGAAAGUUGAAAGAUGGCUUCUUGCUAUCACUUACAGAUGGGCCCGCGGCGCAUUAGCUAGUUGGUGAGGUAACGGCUCACCAAGGCGACGAUGCGUAGCCGACCUGAGAGGGUGAUCGGCCACACUGGGACUGAGACACGGCCCAGACUCCUACGGGAGGCAGCAGUAGGGAAUCUUCCGCAAUGGACGAAAGUCUGACGGAGCAACGCCGCGUGAACGAUGAAGGUCUUCGGAUCGUAAAGUUCUGUUGUUAGGGAAGAACAAGUACCGUGCGAAUAGAGCGGUACCUUGACGGUACCUAACGAGGAAGCCCCGGCUAACUACGUGCCAGCAGCCGCGGUAAUACGUAGGGGGCAAGCGUUGUCCGGAAUUAUUGGGCGUAAAGCGCGCGCAGGCGGUUCCUUAAGUCUGAUGUGAAAGCCCACGGCUCAACCGUGGAGGGUCAUUGGAAACUGGGGAACUUGAGGACAGAAGAGGAGAGUGGAAUUCCACGUGUAGCGGUGAAAUGCGUAGAUAUGUGGAGGAACACCAGUGGCGAAGGCGACUCUCUGGUCUGUUUCUGACGCUGAGGUGCGAAAGCGUGGGUAGCAAACAGGAUUAGAUACCCUGGUAGUCCACGCCGUAAACGAUGAGUGCUAGGUGUUAGGGGGCUUCCACCCCUUAGUGCUGAAGUUAACGCAUUAAGCACUCCGCCUGGGGAGUACGGCCGCAAGGCUGAAACU